This 868-nucleotide long non-coding RNA is filed under the name Numida meleagris (helmeted guineafowl). Its description in RNAcentral is "lncRNA (ENSNMEG00000005371.1)". Lineage: Eukaryota; Metazoa; Chordata; Aves; Galliformes; Numididae. The record is from RNAcentral.
UGUCGAAGAUCACUCGAUUGUUUCAAGGUAUUUUUAGUGAGGACAGUUAAUCUUUAAAUUAAAAAAAAUAAAAAUCUCUGUCCUCUGCCAGAUGCUUUUAGUGGUGUGUCAAGAACUUGACAUUUUUGCCUGUUAGUAAGAAUCAGACUGUUUGAGGCUUAAGUGAUUACUCGAAGACAAAAUAUGGUUUAUUCUAUGCCUGAUAGCCAGUUUACAUAGUCAUGUAUACUUCUCCAUCUUAAUGAUAGCUCUAUAAAUGUUAUAAUUUGUAAGAUUAGGAGACAGUCAUUUGUUUUACACUGUAGCAAAGCAUAACAUUUUUCUUCCCCUCUGGAGAGAAUUUUGUGGUGUCUGCAUGAAAUUUUGAAUUUUUAUAUGCUAAUUAGUUGUCGUUGAUCUUAUGACAGGAAUAGUAUCCUAAAACAAGGACCUGAGCUUAACUGUACAAAUAAUGUGCAUCAGCAAGCAUGCAUAAGAUUAUCAAAGAAGCCAUGUGAAAUCCGUAUUUAUUUUUCUACUCUUAAGUCAUAGUUCAGAUCUUUAGUAAUCCACAGAAGCAGGCCAUGACAGAGUGAACCUUUCCCUGUUGGUUGCCUAUUGUUCUAAGUGGGACUUCCAUCACUAUCAGUGCCUCAGCCGUGUGUCAUCUGCUGGAGGUAAUGGCAAAGUGUCAUCAAGAAGAGGUGGUGCUUGAGGUUUCUUUCAGGCUUUUUCACAACAAGCUCAAGUACUGAGCAGAAGAAAAGCACAUGUGAGCAAGGCAGAAGAUCUAUCCCUUCCACCUGCACUGGCCUUCAUGCAGCAGAGGGAACAAGAGGAAGGGUAAAGAAAAAUAAGGAACAGGAACCAGUGUAAACAAAUAAAAAGA